Molecule: ribosomal RNA, 149 nt
Filed under: uncultured Pseudomonas sp.
Lineage: Bacteria; Pseudomonadati; Pseudomonadota; Gammaproteobacteria; Pseudomonadales; Pseudomonadaceae
Description: partial 16S ribosomal RNA
Rfam family: Bacterial small subunit ribosomal RNA
Source: RNAcentral
UGGGCGAAAGCCUGAUCCAGCCAUGCCGCGUGUGUGAAGAAGGUCUUCGGAUUGUAAAGCACUUUAAGUUGGGAGGAAGGGCAGUUACCUAAUACGUGAUUGUCUUGACGUUACCGACAGAAUAAGCACCGGCUAACUCUGUGCCAGCA